Long non-coding RNA from Patella vulgata (common limpet), 972 nucleotides. RefSeq lists it as uncharacterized. The record is from RefSeq and is a predicted model, not a curated record. NCBI's taxonomy places the organism in Eukaryota, Metazoa, Mollusca, Gastropoda, Patellidae. The transcript has 5 exons.
GAAACCAAUAUGGCUGCUGUUUGUGCUGUGUCGUCUGCCCAAUCAUAAUCCGUUAAAAUGGUCAGGUCUUGCUGUUCCAUAAACUGUGUUAAUCGUGACAUCCCAGAAAUUAAAAAAAAGGAAUAACUUUCCAUAGUAGGCUAUUCCAAUAGCACCAGAGAGGCGACAGAAAUGGCUCCAUGCAAUUAACAGAAUUGAACCUACCACUAAAACAUUAUGGCAGCCAAAGAAUAACUAUGCAGUAAUAUGCUCCGAACAUUUUAAACCAGAAGAUUUUUCAUUAUCGAAACAUGGUGCAUAUAGACUUCUUUCUCCAAACAGUGUACCAUCAAUAUUUUCUUGGAAGAAAGAACCAACAUCGCAGACAAGUACACGAGAUUCCCACACCAGUAAAAAAAGCGUUAGAAAAUGAUGUAAUUGUAUCAGUCACAAGAACAACUCCUGACAGCAAGGUGAAGCAGAGUAUAAAAUCCGACCAUUCAUAUACUUUAAGCACAGAUGAAUUACGAACGAAAUACCAAGUUACGAAACAUCAAUUAGAAGAAACACAACAAGAACUACUCAACACAAAACUUCGCGAAAAAAGGGCAAAGACAGCAAUAGGGAGCAUACUAAGUCAGCUAACCGAUGCAAGAAAAUUAUCAGAAAACAGUCAAAAAAUGAUUGAUUUUUAUAAAGAUAUUUCGGUUGAUUUGUUUAGUAAACCAGCGUCUGAAUUUUCGGAUGAUACAAAGACGUUUUCUACAACACUGUAUUUUUAUGGUCCAAAAGCAUAUAAUUAUUUUAGAGAAAAUGUCAACUUACCACACCCAUCAACUAUUAGAAGGGUUUUAAUAAUGAACCGGAUGACAAGUUGGGAAAUAUUUACACCGCUGAUGGUAUGGAUAUUGAUUGCCUGGUCUAGACUUUGUAUUACAUACUGAAGUCAAAAGAAUUGCUAACACCUGGGGAUGUGUUACAACACGUCCUAAA